GCGCGAGUGGUAGAGUUCGGAAACACGCGGUUGUGCCACGUCCGAGACGGGCGUUCGAACCGCCCUCGCGCA
This 72-nucleotide transfer RNA is filed under the name Halosimplex rubrum. Its description in RNAcentral is "tRNA-Gly". The record is from RNAcentral. Lineage: Archaea; Methanobacteriati; Methanobacteriota; Halobacteria; Halobacteriales; Haloarculaceae.